UAAUUAAGCUCUCAAUUAGCACAGUCCUGCCC
This 32-nucleotide non-coding RNA is filed under the name Mus musculus (house mouse). The record is from RNAcentral. Lineage: Eukaryota; Metazoa; Chordata; Mammalia; Rodentia; Muridae.